UUUGUCUGCAUAUCUUUGUCAAAUAUUAUACUUUUCUUGUGAAAAUAAGAUUCAUAUAUAUAUUUUUUAGAUAGUUAUCUGAUUAAAAAUUUAAUUAAUUAACCAACCUUAUUAAUAAACUAACAAUACUAAUCAAUCUCCAUCAUCACUAUUAUAAGUGUGAAUACCAACAUUGAUCCUCUCCAGAUCUCAGUCACAUCGUGUCUCUUAGUUACCUCUCUCUCUCAUGUUUCUUUUUCUCCUCCUCCUCUCUGCUUCUCGCUCCGGUGAAUCUUCGCCGUCCGGGGACGCCAACAGAAAAAGUUUUCCGGAGGGGUUCGUGUUCGGAACCGCCACGUCAGCAUAUCAGGUUGAAGGCGAGACGUACCAAGAUGGGCGUGGUCCAAGCAUCUGGGAUGCAUUUGUCAAGAUUCCUGGCAAGAUUGCUAACAAUGCCACGGCUGAGUUAACAGUGGACCAGUAUCACCUUUACAAGGAAGAUGUAGAUUUGAUGCAGACACUGAACUUUGAUGCCUACAGAUUUUCCAUUUCAUGGUCCAGAAUAUUCCCUGAGGGAGCCGGUAAAAUCAACUGGAAUGGAGUUGCUUAUUACAACAGAUUGAUAGAUUACUUGGUCCAAAAAGGGAUUACACCGUACGCGAAUCUGUACCACUACGAUCUUCCUCUGGCUUUGGAAAAGAAGUAUAAAGGCUUGCUUGGUAGACAAGUUGUGGAAGAUUUUGCGGAUUACGCAGAGUUUUGUUUCAAGACAUUUGGUGAUAGAGUGAAGAACUGGAUGACAUUCAACGAGCCACGAGUAGUAGCUGCUUUAGGUUAUGAUAACGGUAUAUUCGCACCGGCUAGAUGCUCUAAAGCCUUUGGAAACUGCACUGAAGGAAACUCUGCCACUGAACCGUAUAUCGUUGCACAUCACCUUAUCCUGGCACAUGCUUCAGCCGUCCAGCGAUACCGCCAGCACUAUCAGGAGAAACAAAAGGGAAGGAUUGGUAUUCUUCUUGAUUUCGUUUGGUUCGAGCCUCUUACGAGUAGUGAAGCAGACAAUGACGCUGCUCAAAGAGCAAGAGACUUCCAUCUCGGAUGGUUCAUUCAUCCAAUAGUAUAUGGAGAGUAUCCGAAGACGAUGCAGGACAUAGUGAAGGAGAGGCUUCCAAAAUUCACGGAGGAGGAAGUGAAGAUGGUGAAGGGUUCCAUAGAUUUUGUGGGAAUAAACCAAUACACGACUUAUUACAUGUCCGCUCCACAUCCCACAGCCAAACCUAAAGAUUUAGGUUAUCAACAAGAUUGGAACGUCGUUUUUAACUCAUUACUGAGAAACCUCAAUCUCUACACAUGCAGUUGCAAAGGAUGGGAAACCAAUUGGUCCAAGGGCACAUUCGGAAUGGUUAUACAACGUACCAUGGGGAAUGUACAAGGCCAUGAUGUACGUUAAGGAACAUUAUGGCAACCCUACUAUGAUCCUUUCAGAAAAUGGUAUGGAUGAUGCGGGCAACAUUACUCAAGCUCAAGGAGUAAAUGAUACAUCAAGAAUCACGUAUUAUAGAGACUACUUAACGCAGCUUAAAAAGGCAGUAGACGAUGGUGCCAAUGUAACUGGAUAUUUCGCGUGGUCAUUGCUUGAUAAUUUUGAAUGGUUAUCUGGAUAUACUUCAAGGUUUGGAAUUGUGUACGUUGACUACAAGGACUUGAAACGAUACCCCAAGAUGUCUGCUUUAUGGUUUAGACGUCUUUUGAAACGGGACCAGUGAUGAGAUUAAUGUCUCCAUGAUUGGAUAUAUGUGAUAUUUAUUUGACUUUCCAACGCUAAUAAAAGUUUCAGCAGCAAGAAGUUUUGUCUUGUAUAUACGUUGUAACUUUCAAUAAUGUGUAUGGCGUUUUACAUUGAA
Molecule: RNA transcript, 1883 nt
Organism: Brassica napus (rape)
Lineage: Eukaryota; Viridiplantae; Streptophyta; Magnoliopsida; Brassicales; Brassicaceae
Gene name: beta-glucosidase 43
Exons: 12
Source: RefSeq, a predicted model, not a curated record